Molecule: transfer RNA, 72 nt
Filed under: Felis catus (domestic cat)
Lineage: Eukaryota; Metazoa; Chordata; Mammalia; Carnivora; Felidae
Also listed under: 2 other names
Rfam family: tRNA
About the family: Transfer RNA (tRNA) molecules are approximately 80 nucleotides in length. Their secondary structure includes four short double-helical elements and three loops (D, anti-codon, and T loops).
Source: Rfam by way of RNAcentral
GCUUUGCUGGCUCACUGGUAGAGCAUGUGACUCUUGAUCUCAAGGUCAUGAGUUGAAGCCCCAUGAUGGGCA